This 278-nucleotide ribosomal RNA is filed under the name uncultured Pseudomonas sp. RNAcentral's name for it is "partial 16S ribosomal RNA". It matches the Rfam family "Bacterial small subunit ribosomal RNA", at positions 1105 to 1382 of the family's 1533-position model. Lineage: Bacteria; Pseudomonadati; Pseudomonadota; Gammaproteobacteria; Pseudomonadales; Pseudomonadaceae. The record is from RNAcentral.
UUGUCCUUAGUUACCAGCACGUUAUGGUGGGCACUCUAAGGAGACUGCCGGUGACAAACCGAGGAAGGUGGGGAUGACGUCAAGUCAUCAUGGCCCUUACGGCCUGGGCUACACACGUGCUACAAUGGUCGGUACAAAGGGUUGCCAAGCCGCGAGGUGGAGCUAAUCCCAUAAAAACCGAUCGUAGUCCGGAUCGCAGUCUGCAACUCGACUGCGUGAAGUCGGAAUCGCUAGUAAUCGUGAAUCAGAAUGUCACGGUGAAUACGUUCCCGGGCCUU